GUAGGAGAUUUGCCGCUUGCAUUUCGUCCACUCCUGCCAGUCUUAGCUAUGGCGACAGCGCCACCGCGCCGGUCGCUGCUUCUGCUGUUACCGCAGCUUCUCCUCCUCCGCUCCUUGUUGGCCGCCGCCACGCCGUCGAUCACCACGAAAGCCGUGCCGCGGCUUCCCGGUUUCAGUGGACCCCUGCCCUUCUCCCUCGAAACAGGGUACGUGGAGCUGGACGACGGCGUCCGCCUCUUCUACUACUUCAUCCAGUCGGAGCGCGACCCGGAGGAGGACCCCGUCCUGCUCUGGCUCACCGGCGGCCCCGGAUGCUCCGCCCUCUCCGGCCUCGUCUACGAGAUCGGUCCUUUCUACUUCGACUUCGAGGGGUACACCGGGAGUGGACUGCCUACUCUGCUCUACAAACCAGCAUCUUGGACCCAGGUUAGCAAUGUCAUCUUCGUCGAUUCUCCGGCAGGGACAGGCUUCUCGUAUGACACCACGGGCAACAGAACCAUACCAAGUGACACCAUUGUCAUUCAACAGCUACACACCUUUCUCCAAACGUGGUUUGAUGAACACCCACAGUUUUUGCCCAAUCCGUUCUACGUUGCGGGUGAUUCGUAUAGCGGCAUAAUCAUACCUCCUCUUGCUAUGAAAAUUGCUAAAGGGAUAGAAUACGGUGAUGAGCGGCUCAUCAAUCUCAAGGGUGUCAUUGCUGGCAAUCCAUUAACUGAUCUAAUGUUGGACUUCAACUCUCGGGUUCCGUUUCUUCAUCGGAUGGGAAUCAUAUCGGAUGAACUCUACGAGGCUGCUCGUGAAGGCUGUAGAGGGCAAUACCGUAGCCCAUCGAACGCUGAUUGUGCCAAUUCCCUCCAAGCCAUUGACUAUAUCACAAGGGAUUUGAAUACUGCACACAUCUUGGAGAAAAAUUGUAUAGAAUAUCCAAGCCCCGCCAUUCAGAAGCGGCCGAGGUUGCAAGAUCAUGGUAGGAAAAGGCUAUUAGAGUCCGCAGUUUGGUCUAUCUGCAGGAAUUCCACCUACUUUCUGUCCGAGGUAUGGAUAAACGACGAACCUGUAAGGGAGAGUUUGGGUAUUCACAAGGGAACAGUUCCAUCAUGGCUACGAUGUGAUUUCGAUAUACCUUACACAAAGGAAAUCACCGAUGCAGUGGAUGGUCAUUUAGCAUUGAUUGCUAAAGGAUACCGGGCCAUGAUCUACAGCGGCGACCAUGAUGCUAGUAUACCUUAUGUUGGCACCCAAGCAUGGAUCAGAAAACUUAACCUGCCCAUCACAGAUAAUUGGCGACCAUGGUAUGUGGACGGCCAAGUUGUUGGGUUCACAAGAACUUACUCCAACAAUCUGACAUAUGCAACUGUAAAGGGUGCUGGACACACAGCCCCGGAGUACAUGCCCAAGGAGUGUCUUGCCAUGAUCGAUAGAUGGCUCUCGGGUGAACCUCUUUGAGGGGUCAACUGAUGUUGGGUGCACGUGGAGAUUCUUAAUGUCAAUUGUAUAUUUAAGGUUCCUUCGUCAGCAGAAUCCGAAGUAUGCUGCGAAGCAUCGCAUAUGAAUCAGAUCAAUGUUUCACCCUCAAGUAACACUCCAUAGAUAAACUUAGUGUGCAGCGAUCCCCAGUGGAAAAAGAGAAAUGAAAGGUACAAAAAAGACUGCUUACAAGCAAAACAUGGUGUAUUAAUGACUCAUCUAUUGAGAUAAUGCACAUAUGGAAGGAAGAGCAGAUACGAUUGUUUACCUCAUGUGAUGACUCAUCGUCCUCAGCCCCAGGUCCGCCAGCUGCUGAAGAACACGGACCAUGCUGCAGACAGGCACACAAGGAUGAAAAUCUGAACCCUCACUUGGACAAUAAAUCAACUUAAAUUUACCUGUGGAAUGUUUGGUGACGCCAUGCUAAGCAUACUCUCUUCCAAAGACUGGAACCUGUUCUCCCAAGUUUCAUUCAACUGCUGUGUGGCGCGAUUGAUCAUCUCCUGAACCUGAUCCUGAGUGAACAUUUGUGUUGUAUUUCGACCAGAAGAACCUGAGGUGGACUUCAAAGGGCCUAUUUGGGCUUUGUCAAUGAUACCAGGAAGUCCAUAGUACCUCCCUCGCUUGCGUCCCCCUACCUCCUGUGACCAUGCAAGAUGGGGGUCUAGUCCAGUAUCACCUGCCUCCUUCAAACGCCGCUGGAAAGCCUCCUGAAAGACAUACCUAAUUCUAGUUAAUUCGUCAAACUGACUUCUGCGACAUUGCAAUGUACUUAUUAACCCACUUAUGAUACAAAUGACUGAAUACGUACCAUGGUCUGCCUAGCUUUCUCAGUAA
Molecule: RNA transcript, 2307 nt
Organism: Lolium rigidum
Lineage: Eukaryota; Viridiplantae; Streptophyta; Magnoliopsida; Poales; Poaceae
Gene name: serine carboxypeptidase-like 18
Exons: 15
Source: RefSeq, a predicted model, not a curated record